AGAGACAGCAGCAGCCGCGGGAAUACGUAGGGUGCAAGCGUUAAUCGGAAUUACUGGGCGUAAAGCGUGCGCAGGCGGUUAUAUAAGACAGAUGUGAAAUCCCCGGGCUCAACCUGGGAACUGCAUUUGUGACUGUAUAGCUAGAGUACGGCAGAGGGGGAUGGAAUUCCGCGUGUAGCAGUGAAAUGCGUAGAUAUGCGGAGGAACACCGAUGGCGAAGGCAAUCCCCUGGGCCUGUACUGACGCUCAUGCACGAAAGCGUGGGGAGCAAACAGGAUUAGAUACCCCAGUAGUCCCUGUCUCUUAUAC
RNAcentral lists this ribosomal RNA (309 nucleotides) under uncultured bacterium. RNAcentral describes it as "partial 16S ribosomal RNA". It matches the Rfam family "Bacterial small subunit ribosomal RNA", at positions 504 to 807 of the family's 1533-position model. The record is from RNAcentral.